This 202-nucleotide ribosomal RNA is filed under the name uncultured Lactobacillus sp. Its description in RNAcentral is "partial 16S ribosomal RNA". It matches the Rfam family "Bacterial small subunit ribosomal RNA", at positions 162 to 356 of the family's 1533-position model. Lineage: Bacteria; Bacillati; Bacillota; Bacilli; Lactobacillales; Lactobacillaceae. The record is from RNAcentral.
GCUAAUACCGCAUAACAACGAAAACCAACAUGGCUUUCGUUUUAAAGAUGGUUUCGGCUAUCACUUCAGGAUGGGCCCGCGGUGCAUUAGCUAGUUGGUAAGGUAACGGCUUACCAAGGCGAUGAUGCAUAGCCGAGUUGAGAGACUGAUCGGCCACAAUGGAACUGAGACACGGUCCAUACUCCUACGGGAGGCAGCAGCG